Molecule: ribosomal RNA, 851 nt
Filed under: uncultured bacterium
Lineage: Bacteria
Description: bacterial SSU rRNA
Rfam family: Bacterial small subunit ribosomal RNA
Source: RNAcentral
GGCUCAGGAUGAACGCUGGCGGCGUGCUUAACACAUGCAAGUCGAACGGGUGCUUGGGGAAACUUGAGCGCUAGUGGCAAACGGGUGCGUAACACGUGGGUUUACCUACCUCAAAGUGGGGAACAACAGACCGAAAGGUUUGCUAAUACCGCAUGUGCUCAGCAAUGAGUAAAGUCGCAAGACGCUUUGAGAGGGGCCCGCGUCCCAUCAGGUAGUUGGUGAGGUAAUGGCCCACCAAGCCGAUGACGGGUAGCUGCUCUGAGAGGAAGAUCAGCCACACUGGCACUGAGAUACGGGCCAGACUCCUACGGGAGGCAGCAGUGAGGAAUAUUGCGCAAUGGACGAAAGUCUGACGCAGCGACGCCGCGUGGGCGACGAAGGCCUUCGGGUCGUAAAGCCCUUUUGGCAGGGACGAGUGAGGACGGUACCUGUCGAAUAAGUCUCGGCUAACUACGUGCCAGCAGCCGCGGUAAAACGUAGGAGGCGAGCGUUAUCCGGAUUCACUGGGCGUAAAGCGUGCGUAGGCGGUUGGGUAAGUCGGACGUGAAAGCCCCUGGCUCAACUGGGGGAGGUCGUUCGAUACUGCUUGGCUUGAGGAUGAAAGAGGAAAGCGGAAUUCCCGGUGUAGCGGUGGAAUGCGUAGAGAUCGGGAGGAACACCAGUGGCGAAAGCGGCUUUCUGGUUCAUUUCUGACGCUGAGUGCACGAAAGCGUGGGGAGCAAACGGGAUUAGAUACCCCGGUAGUCCACGCUCUAAACGAUGAGAGCUGGGUGUUGGCAGGGUUUCCUGUCAGUGCCGAAGCAAACGCGUUAAGCUCUCCGCCUGGGGACUACGAACGCCGGUUUAAAACU